UACAGAGGUCUCAAGCGUUGUUCGGAUUCAUUGGGCGUAAAGGGCGCGUAGGCGGCGGGGUAAGUCGGGUGUGAAAUCUCAGAGCUCAACUCUGAAACUGCACUCGAUACUGCUUUGCUAGAGGACUGGAGAGGAGAUUGGAAUUCACGGUGUAGCAGUGAAAUGCGUAGAUAUCGUGAGGAAGACCAGUGGCGAAGGCGGAUCUCUGGACAGUUACUGACACUGAGGCACGAAGGCCAGGGGAGCAAACGGG
Molecule: ribosomal RNA, 253 nt
Filed under: uncultured bacterium
Lineage: Bacteria
Description: partial 16S ribosomal RNA
Rfam family: Bacterial small subunit ribosomal RNA
Source: RNAcentral